UCCCUGAUGGUUCACUGGUUAAAACCCUGCACUUCCAAAGCAGAGGGCAUGGGUUCAAUCCCUGAUAGGGAA
Molecule: transfer RNA, 72 nt
Filed under: Bos taurus (domestic cattle)
Lineage: Eukaryota; Metazoa; Chordata; Mammalia; Artiodactyla; Bovidae
Also listed under: 4 other names
Rfam family: tRNA
About the family: Transfer RNA (tRNA) molecules are approximately 80 nucleotides in length. Their secondary structure includes four short double-helical elements and three loops (D, anti-codon, and T loops).
Source: Rfam by way of RNAcentral